RNAcentral lists this ribosomal RNA (534 nucleotides) under [Candida] sp. LCF-114. Its description in RNAcentral is "eukaryotic LSU rRNA". It matches the Rfam family "Eukaryotic large subunit ribosomal RNA", at positions 89 to 650 of the family's 3401-position model. The record is from RNAcentral. Lineage: Eukaryota; Fungi; Ascomycota; Saccharomycetes; Saccharomycetales.
GCGAGUGAAGCGGCAAGAGCUCAAAUUUGAAAUCUGGCGUAAGCCCGAGUUGUAAUUUGAAGAAGAUAUUCUUGGAAUUGGUCCUUGUCUAUGUUCCUUGGAACAGGACGUCACAGAGGGUGAGAAUCCCGUGCGACAAGGAAUUCUUUUCUUUAUAAGAUGUCUUCGAAGAGUCGAGUUGUUUGGGAAUGCAGCUCAAAGUGGGUGGUAAAUUCCAUCUAAAGCUAAAUAUUGGCGAGAGACCGAUAGCGAACAAGUACUGUGAAGGAAAGAUGAAAAGAACUUUGAAAAGAGAGUGAAAAAGUACGUGAAAUUGUUGAAAGGGAAGGGUAUUCGAUCAGACUGGUAUUUAAUUAUCGCUACUCCUUGUGGGUGGUGCUCUAAUUUCUUACUGGGCCAACAUCAGUUUUGGUGGUAAGAUAAUCGCAGUUGAAUGUGGCUCCUCGGAGUGUUAUAGCUUCUGUUGAUGUUACCUACCGGGACUGAGGUCUGCGACUUUGUCUAGGAUGUUGGCGUAAUGAUCCAAUACCGCCC